This 345-nucleotide long non-coding RNA is filed under the name Chinchilla lanigera (long-tailed chinchilla). RNAcentral's name for it is "lncRNA (ENSCLAG00000028424.1)". The record is from RNAcentral. Lineage: Eukaryota; Metazoa; Chordata; Mammalia; Rodentia; Chinchillidae.
CCUCUACUUCCGUGGUCCGGCCCAGAGUCCGGGUAGCUUCACGUUCCUGGCGUCUCGGGGGCCGAUUUGUCUCGGGGGCUGAUUUGCUUGGAACAGUUAGACCUUAGUGCACGGAUUGCGGUGACCUGGGGCGGGGCGGGUGGAGGUGCAUCUGCUAGGCCGAGAUCCUCAGCACGUGAGCUGCCCGAAACUGGAGACGACCAGGCGCCGGCAUCUUUGGUCUAUUGCGGAAAGAACGACCUCGUCCCAGCAAAGCUGAUGGAAGGAUCUGUGCUUUCAUCUAGGGAGGAGCAGGUGGGAGAGACCAAGGAACAGAGAAUGAAGGUGAGGUUUGCUGCCCAUGCU